RNAcentral lists this ribosomal RNA (407 nucleotides) under uncultured bacterium. RNAcentral describes it as "partial 16S ribosomal RNA". It matches the Rfam family "Bacterial small subunit ribosomal RNA", at positions 30 to 526 of the family's 1533-position model. The record is from RNAcentral.
AUUGAACGCUGGCGGCAGGCCUAACACAUGCAAGUCGAGCGGAGCGGCGGACGGGUGAGUAAUGCCUAGGUAUCUGCCUGGGAGUGGGGGAGAACGUCCGGUAACGGACGCUAAUACCGCUUCCUAUCAGCUGCGCCUAGGUCGGAUUAGCUAGUUGGUGGGGUAAAGGCCUACCAAGGCGACGAUCCGUAACUGGUCUGAGAGGAUGAUCAGUCACACUGGAACUGAGACACGGUCCAGACUCCUACGGGAGGCAGCAGUGGGGAAUAUUGGACAAUGGGCGAAAGCCUGAUGCAGCCAUGCCGCGUGUGUGAAGAAGGUCUUCGGAUUGUAAAGCACUUUAAGUUGGGAGGCGUUACCAACAGAAGAAGCACCGGCUAACUCCGUGCCAGCCGCCGCGGUAAUUC